This 315-nucleotide long non-coding RNA is filed under the name Nicotiana benthamiana. RNAcentral's name for it is "long non-coding RNA (NBEN_LNC041768)". The record is from RNAcentral. Lineage: Eukaryota; Viridiplantae; Streptophyta; Magnoliopsida; Solanales; Solanaceae.
UUCAGAAAGGCUUGUGAAUGAAUGAUGAUGUGUGUUUGUGUCAAUGAAGAGCAGGUAUCUAUAGUGUGAAAACAGAUGGAAAGAAGGUAAGAAAAUAAUUAUGGAACUGGGUAUCAAUUUCAAAUCAAUCAGUAUAAGACUUUCUUUAAUUAUGGAAUUGAAUCAAACGGUAAUGAGCGACAAUUAUUUAAGGGAAGAAAUCAAAUUAGCAUCUUAUGCAAAGUAGGAAAUUAGGGGUAAAUACAAAAGAGUUUGCUUAAGAGAAGAAUUUUGAAAUACACGGUUAAAACAAAAUAAGGUAAGAAUCAAUUAGUA